CAGUCGCCGCGGGAAUACGUAGGGUGCAAGCGUUAAUCGGAAUUACUGGGCGUAAAGCGUGCGCAGGCGGUUAUAUAAGACAGAUGUGAAAUCACCGGGCUCAACCUGGGAACUGCAUUUGUGACUGUAUAGCUAGAGUACGGCAGAGGGGGAUGGAAUUCCGCGUGUAGCAGUGAAAUGCGUAGAUAUGCGGAGGAACACCGAUGGCGAAGGCAAUCCCCUGGGCCUGUACUGACGCUCAUGCACGAAAGCGUGGGGAGCAAACAGGAUUAGAUACCCGAGUAGUCCCUGUCUCUUAUAC
Molecule: ribosomal RNA, 301 nt
Filed under: uncultured bacterium
Lineage: Bacteria
Description: partial 16S ribosomal RNA
Rfam family: Bacterial small subunit ribosomal RNA
Source: RNAcentral